RNAcentral lists this ribosomal RNA (465 nucleotides) under uncultured bacterium. Its description in RNAcentral is "partial 16S ribosomal RNA". It matches the Rfam family "Bacterial small subunit ribosomal RNA", at positions 338 to 795 of the family's 1533-position model. The record is from RNAcentral.
CCUACGGGUGGCAGCAGUGGGGAAUAUUGCGCAAUGGGCGAAAGCCUGACGCAGCGACGCCGCGUGAGGGCUGAAGGUCUUCGGAUCGUAAACCUCUGUCAGCAGGGAAGAACGGUCACUGUGCUAAUCAGCAGUGAAUUGACGGUACCUGCAAAGGAAGCACCGGCUAACUCCGUGCCAGCAGCCGCGGUAAUACGGAGGGUGCAAGCGUUAAUCGGAAUUACUGGGCGUAAAGCGCUCGUAGGCGGUAUGUCAAGUCAAUGGUGAAAUCCCCGCGCUCAACGUGGGAACUGCCUGUGAAACUGGCAGACUGGAGUGUGGGAGAGGAGAGUGGAAUUCCAGGUGUAGGAGUGAAAUGCGUAGAUAUCUGGAGGAACAUCAGUGGCGAAGGCGACUAUCUGGCACAAAACUGACGCUGAGGAGCGAAAGCGUGGGUAGCAAACAGGAUUAGAUACCCCAGUAGUC